GCAGCGGUCAAGUUGUACCAACACAGAGAAAGGAGGAGGAACCUCUGGUCGGCCCUUGAGAACAUUUUAGCUGGGGUUCUGGAAUGGAAUGUGGCACAGAAAGGCCAAACCAGACCAGUAAAUUCUUUGAAAGGGUGAAAAGCAAGGAUUGUGGAUUUCUGGAAGAUGGAUGCUGUUGGAUUUCCAGAAGAUGGAUGCUGUUGACUUUCAGGGCAAUCCUUUGUCACUCAGGAUUCUGGAUGCCCUUUUGAAAGAUUCCAAGAGAACCUUCGUUUCUCACUGUCCCUGCUACUGAUAGCCACCUGACCUGCCGGGCUGUCUCUGCUGCUUGUCUCAUUCACAGAUGGAGAAGAGUUCCUGCUACUCUUGAUGAUGCCUUUUGGGAGUCCUCCAUUUGACCUCCCUGAGUGAGAACUGAUGGGGACACUGCUGUUGAUGAAGCUGCUGAUUCAAGAGUCUUCAAAGGCCACUGUCUCACAUCAUUGUAGGCUUAAGAGAGAGAGAGAGGGAGAGCGAGCGAGCACAGGCAGACAGAAUGGCAGGCAGAGGCAGAGGAAGAAGCUGGCUCCCAGCCCAGCAAGGAGCACGAUGUGGGACUCGAUCCCAGGAUGCUGGGAUCAUGACCUGAGCCGAAGGCAGCUGCCUAACCAACUGAGCCACCCAGGUGUCCCAGGAAACUAUUUAAAUGAAUCUUUCUGAUCAGUGCAUCCAAGAACAGCACAGUGUCUUUCAAACUGAUGACAACGUAUAAAAUAAAAGAACACACAAAGAAACCGAACUAAGAAGAAAUUUCUCAGCUUGUCAAUGAGAUGAAAUAGAUUUAAAGGCAGGUUCCCCAAACAGCAAGCCUCCAAAACCCUUUUAUAUAAAAAUUAAGAUGUUUGAGAAGUCACAUAGCAAGAAAGAAGACUAAUUCAGUUAUUUUCCGAACUGAGUUUCAAUUUCUCCUCUAAGUAGCUCACAAUACAUAUUCAGUUAUUUUUGUAUAAAUAAGGAAUACCUUCAAAGCUGCCUUUUAAGAAGAGGCAACAUCUCCAGUAACCUCAUAAAUAUGUUGACAGUUCAUAGCUCUGUUAGUUCCAUACCAUCUCUACACUCGCAUGUUCCCUACUUGUACUUCUCCUAAGUCUUGCUCAUUGCUCAAAGAUACUAAAGCCUACUGAGUAGAACAAUCAAAAGGAGAAAGACCACUGGUUCACUCAAUCAGUGAGUGAGUGAACUCACUUCUUUUAAUUCAGCUAUGUAAUUAACAGGUUAUAUAUGUUAUAUAACAUAUCUAUGAGAAAGACGUCUAAUGGUGUCCAAACUUAUAAAAACGUGAGUUAAAAACAAUGCUAUGAUUUUCAGGGAAAAUAUGAACUUUCAUAAAUUUCUGUAAAACAAUAAAACCCGAGGGUUAGAAAGAGGUGACUUCUUUGGUGAAACUUCACUUUUGCCUUUGCUGGCAGAGGCUAAGGGGCCAAGAUUAUUUGCAACAAAUAUGCUUGUGCACAUGAUUCUGGAGGUCUGCAUGGAAGCAUUGUUUUCUCUGAAAUCUGGAGUAAGAGAUGUGAUCUCCCAGUCACUGUAGAAAAAGGAGCCGUGUGUUAUGUUGCAGAUGGUCAAUUUCCUCUGGUCACAUUCACUCUUUGUACAUUGGGAAGGCAAAGAGAAGUGUGAAAUGAUAUGACAGAACAAUGAUCUUUAUACAGGCAUAGUGGAUUAUUUAUUUUUAAAAGGUCAGUUAGGAAAGGGUAUCAUGCAUUGUAGAGUAAUACAUAUGAAAAUUAAAGUCGUGAACCUCUGCAGGGGAUUCAGUAUUGAAAAGUCACCCAAAGGCCUACAGUAAAUGCUCUGUUAGCUGCUGUGGUUACAGUAUGAGGUUCUCUGGUUAAAAAUAUGUUGCAGUUAAGUCUUCAUUACGAUUUCUAUAUCAUGCCUAGAUUUUAAAUAUCCAAGCAUUAAGAUAAUGUAAAUAAGAAAAGAAACCCAAAGCCUCUGAGUUCAGAUAAGCUGACUCUAAAUCCUGGCUACAACUCUUACCAGAUUUGUGAUAUUAAGUUAUCUACUCCCUCUGAGCCUUAAUUUUUGUAUCUGGAAAAUGGAGCUAAGUCUUGAUUAAAUACUAUGUUAAGACUUCCAUUUUUCCACUUAAAAAUGUCCUUUUGGGGACAAGGUUUUCCCUCUGGCCUCACACAAAUAAAGUAGACAAUAUAUAUGAAGAAGCAUUGGUUUCCAAGCUACAGUAUAUUAGAUAACCAAGGACAGGAACCCCAGGAUAUGAGAAACAAAGAAGUGAGGCUUCUGGUUGCUUCAGUUUACUACCUUGAGAAAGUUUCCUGAUAACAAAGCAGAGAGGAAAAACCACAGAUGGUCCAGCAGAAUCCCUGAGUUGAAGAGACAAUGCUGAAUGCCUAGGGAUACCAAUGCAGCUGGAGUUCGUAAAACAGACUAGGGAGAAGAAAGAGUCACACAGAAAGCAAACUCCAGAGAAUGGCACAGUCUCUACCUUCAAGUUCAGCAGAACAUUAAUCAGCGCACCUGUGUGAUAAAAGUAAUGGAGACUAGGAAAAGAAUCACCCACAAGGAUUAGAGAGAAUGGUACUCAUGGCUCACAUAGAGUCGGGAACUGCUAUUCUCAACAGCUAGAGGGGAAAUCUUUGCAAGUCCCCAUGGUACUAGGAAAGUAGUAACAAAGGUCUUGUCUCAGUAGUAGAGAAUAAUUACCUCUAAACUAAACAGGGCUUGGUACUACAUGACAAAUCUUAAAAGACAGACCUGAACAGAUCAAAAGGUUUCCAAAUAGCUUACUGUAUCCCAGAGUAAAAUGCAAGAAUAUUUAUAAAAAUACUAAAAUAUCCAACACCUACACAAAGGUAAAGGUAAAGCUCACAAUCCUUAACAUUCAAUAAGAAAUUACCAGGUACAAAAUAGGAAGGUAAAUAUGAGAAGAAAGAGCUCAAUCAAAACUGACCCAUAACUGGGGAGGAGUCAAGAUGGCAGAGAAGUAGCAGGCUGAGACUACUUCAGCUAGCAGGAGAUCAGCUAGAUAGCUUAUCUAAAGAUUGCAAACACCUGCAAAUCCAGCGGCAGAUGGAAGAGAAGAACAACAGCAAUUCUAGAAACAGAAAAACAACUGCUUUCUGAUAGGUAGGACUGGUGGAGAAGUGAAUCCAAAGCGACAGGAAGAUAGACCCCGGGGGAGGGGCUGGCUCCCGGCAAGCAGCGGAGCAACGGAGUACAAAACUGGGACUUUUAAAAGUCUGUUCCGCUGAGGGUCAUCGCUCCAGAGGCUAAACCGGGGUGAAGCCCACGUGGGGUCAGUGAGGCCUCAGGUCCCGCAGGGUCACAGAAGGAUCGGGGGUGUCUGAGUGUCGCAGAGCUUGCGGGUAUUGGAACGNNN
Molecule: long non-coding RNA, 3382 nt
Organism: Mustela putorius furo (domestic ferret)
Lineage: Eukaryota; Metazoa; Chordata; Mammalia; Carnivora; Mustelidae
Source: Ensembl